GUCCUUUAUGACAUUGUAAGUGCUUGGGCUUUUAUUUUUUUUAAUUAAGGAGAAUGAAAAAAAAAAAAAAGUCCUGCUCACAUCUGGAACAGACCCACUCCCCGUGCAGAGUGUGGCCAUGCACUUAAGCUCAGUUGUGGCAGAUUGGGAAGGGGACAGGAGGCAGAAAGGGAGAUAGGACAGGGAGUAGAAAACAGAGAAACAGACUGCACAGGGAGCAUAGGGCAGAAAGCAGAGCAGACAGGGGGCUUGGAGCAAGGAACAGAAAGCAGAAGAGCAGAGUAGACAGGGGCACAGGGCAGGGAGCAAAAAACAAAGCAGCAGACCAGGCAGAUGAACAGUAUUGGAGUGGUACUUGAAGAGGGUGUGGGGCUAAUUUGUGACACCUGCCAAGAAAGCUGGCCCCUAUCAUCCCACCCAGCUCAGCAUCGCAGGCACAGUUCACAUGGAAAGGAUCCUCCUGGCAGCUGCCCUGCGGCUUCACCGGCAACGCGCUCAGAGGAAUCGAUUGCACUAGUUAAGGAACAGAGCUGCAGGAGUGCAAUAUUUGUGUUCUCCAUUAUCGCAAUGUACAGUCACGGGGAAGGAAUCGCCCUGGGGAGGUAACACGGCCCUGCCCUGAGAAGUCCUUUCCCAGGGGAGCCUGUGCACGCCGCAGUGCUACAGCCCAGCCCUUCAGAGCCCUAAGCCACAAAGCCUGCAUUCGAUCUGGACCUUGCCUUUGCUGCUGGGCGGGAUAUUGAAGUUCCUCCCUCUUUUCCCCACUCCCAUUACCUGGUCUCCGUGGCCCUGCAUCGACAGCCUGCUGGAAUGAAACAUUCAUGAUGCAAUCCUGAGGCAAGGCAGGCGAGACUUCAAUGCCUUUGCCAGCCAAACACCUGUGCUGAGUGAACCCUGCUUGUUACCUAAUAAGCCUUAUCAGAAUAGCUAAUAGCAGGGCAAGCCACUUGGGUGGCCUCCUUCCAAACAGAGCAGAUCUAGAAGGAAAUAAGUCUUUCCAUGAGGCUCCCACCUUUUGCCAUGAUUUGCUCUGGUCGAUAGGGUCUCUCCACCUUCCUAAACCAUAUUUACCUGCCUGAUGCAGGAUGCUGGUUAAACUAUAUUAUGGAACUGAAAACAGCCAAUGUGAAAAGCCAGGCUUAGUGGACAUGAAGAGAAUGAGCCUGAAGUGACCCAAAGCCUUUAUUAUAUUUUCCGAGCUCUGCCAGUAUGCUCAAGACUCAGAAUGGUUUUCCCUAAGCAAAGACAACAUCCUGUAGUCAGAAAGUACCAUGAAGCCCCGAGGCAUGAAACCAAUCCUGCUCCUAUUACCAAAACCCCAUCAGUAUCCAUAUUCCCAGCAAAGGCUGUGCCCCGAGACAUACAAGCUGCAUUAUCUCCUCCAAUGAAGUUGCCAGACGCUGGGGAAAAGGAAGGGGGGAAAAAAAAAGGAAAGUUUUUUUUGUUAACCACAGACAGCGACUCAAAAAAACAUAUGCGUCUCACAUUGCACAAGUAGCGCUGUGGCAUUUUUGGCAGUCUUGCUUCAGCAAACAGUUUUGAUCCCUUUUAAAACUGAAAUUAGCUUCUGUUUAAAUGCAGGUAAUUUACCUUUUUUUUUUUUUGG
Crocodylus porosus (Australian saltwater crocodile) is the source of this 1606-nucleotide long non-coding RNA. The record is from Ensembl. NCBI's taxonomy places the organism in Eukaryota, Metazoa, Chordata, Crocodylia, Crocodylidae.